Molecule: ribosomal RNA, 743 nt
Filed under: Rhodococcus sp. CR92
Lineage: Bacteria; Bacillati; Actinomycetota; Actinomycetes; Mycobacteriales; Nocardiaceae
Description: bacterial SSU rRNA
Rfam family: Bacterial small subunit ribosomal RNA
Source: RNAcentral
AGUCGAGCGGUAAGGCCUUUCGGGGUACACGAGCGGCGAACGGGUGAGUAACACGUGGGUGAUCUGCCCUGCACUUCGGGAUAAGCCUGGGAAACUGGGUCUAAUACCGGAUAUGACCUCCUAUCGCAUGGUGGGUGGUGGAAAGAUUUAUCGGUGCAGGAUGGGCCCGCGGCCUAUCAGCUUGUUGGUGGGGUAAUGGCCUACCAAGGCGACGACGGGUAGCCGACCUGAGAGGGUGACCGGCCACACUGGGACUGAGACACGGCCCAGACUCCUACGGGAGGCAGCAGUGGGGAAUAUUGCACAAUGGGCGAAAGCCUGAUGCAGCGACGCCGCGUGAGGGAUGACGGCCUUCGGGUUGUAAACCUCUUUCAGCAGGGACGAAGCGCAAGUGACGGUACCUGCAGAAGAAGCACCGGCUAACUACGUGCCAGCAGCCGCGGUAAUACGUAGGGUGCAAGCGUUGUCCGGAAUUACUGGGCGUAAAGAGUUCGUAGGCGGUUUGUCGCGUCGUUUGUGAAAACCAGCAGCUCAACUGCUGGCUUGCAGGCGAUACGGGCAGACUUGAGUACUGCAGGGGAGACUGGAAUUCCUGGUGUAGCGGUGAAAUGCGCAGAUAUCAGGAGGAACACCGGUGGCGAAGGCGGGUCUCUGGGCAGUAACUGACGCUGAGGAACGAAAGCGUGGGUAGCGAACAGGAUUAGAUACCCUGGUAGUCCACGCCGUAAACGGUGGGCGCUAGG